GAUGAAGAACGUAGCGAAAUGCGAUAAGUAAUGCGAAUUGCAGAAUUUCCGUGAGUCAUCAAAUCUUUGAACGCACAUUGCGCCCACUGGUAUUCCGGUGGGCAUGCCUGUUCGAGCGUCAUUAUCCUCCCUCAAACCCCGGGUUUGGUGUUGGACCCAAGUUGUGUGAACAACUGGUCUCAAAGACAAUGACGGCGUCCGUGGGACCCUCGGUGCAACGAGCUUUUAGGAGCACGCAUCGAGUUGCAAGGACCUUCCGGGCCGGUCUCCUUUACCAUUUUACAAGGUUGACCUCGGAUCAGGUAGGAAUACCCGCUGAACUUAAGCAUAUCAAUAAGCGGAGGA
RNAcentral lists this unclassified non-coding RNA (345 nucleotides) under soil metagenome. RNAcentral's name for it is "partial contains 5.8S ribosomal RNA, internal transcribed spacer 2, and large subunit ribosomal RNA". The stretch from base 1 to 121 matches the Rfam family "5.8S ribosomal RNA", at positions 35 to 154 of the family's 154-position model. The record is from RNAcentral.